GACGAACGCUGGCGGCGUGCCUAAUACAUGCAAGUAGAACGCUGAAGCGAGGAGCUUGCUCUUCUUGGAUGAGUUGCGAACGGGUGAGUAACGCGUAGGUAACCUGCCUUGUAGCGGGGGAUAACUAUUGGAAACGAUAGCUAAUACCGCAUAACAAUGGAUGACCCAUGUCAUUUAUUUGAAAGGGGCAAAUGCUCCACUACAAGAUGGACCUGCGUUGUAUUAGCUAGUAGGUGAGGUAACGGCUCACCUAGGCGACGAUACAUAGCCGACCUGAGAGGGUGAUCGGCCACACUGGGACUGAGACACGGCCCAGACUCCUACGGGAGGCAGCAGUAGGGAAUCUUCGGCAAUGGGGGCAACCCUGACCGAGCAACGCCGCGUGAGGGAAGAAGGUUUUCGGAUCGUAAAGCUCUGUUGUAAGUCAAGAACGAGUGUGAGAGUGGAAAGUUCACACUGUGACGGUAGCUUACCAGAAAGGGACGGCUAACUACGUG
RNAcentral lists this ribosomal RNA (497 nucleotides) under uncultured bacterium. Its description in RNAcentral is "partial 16S ribosomal RNA". It matches the Rfam family "Bacterial small subunit ribosomal RNA", at positions 28 to 507 of the family's 1533-position model. The record is from RNAcentral.